Molecule: ribosomal RNA, 301 nt
Filed under: uncultured bacterium
Lineage: Bacteria
Description: partial 16S ribosomal RNA
Rfam family: Bacterial small subunit ribosomal RNA
Source: RNAcentral
CAGCAGCCGCGGUAAUACGGAGGGAGCUAGCGUUGUUCGGAAUUACUGGGCGUAAAGCGCACGUAGGCGGUUAUUCAAGUCAGAGGUGAAAGCCCGGGGCUCAACCCCGGAACUGCCUUUGAAACUAGAUGACUGGAAUCUUGGAGAGGUCAGUGGAAUUCCGAGUGUAGAGGUGAAAUUCGUAGAUAUUCGGAAGAACACCAGUGGCGAAGGCGACUGACUGGACAGGUAUUGACGCUGAGGUGCGAAAGCGUGGGGAGCAAACAGGAUUAGAUACCCCAGUAGUCCCUGUCUCUUAUAC